UUUUAUGAAAGUUAAUUUUCGUUUUAAGUGACACAUGUGCACGAAACUAAAUAUUUCACUUUAAGUUUUACAAAUUUUGGGAUGAACGAUAACCGUACCCCUGGUGACGUCAUUUGUCGUUUUCCUGAUUUACACAGAAGACAGGCCCCCAGAAAAGGCCUGAAUGGCGCAUGAUACAAUGUCGGCGCAAACUUGUUUAGCUUUUGUUGCGGGUUGUAUGUGGUAUUACCUACCGUGAUAUUGUGAAAAUAUAUGAAGUUAUUACGAAGUUCUUUGGAAAAUUAACUAGGCUUCUGUGCCGCAGACAUCGUCAAAUUGAUCAUCACCAUAAUAUUGACAUGUAAAUGUCCUGCCAUACCUUUCAAUUUGGGCAAAACAGCGCAGCGCAGAAGAACCGGCAGACGCCGAUGUCCGGCCCGCGCUUCAAGAACUGACAGACGGCAGAUGCUGAUGUCCCGAUGUGCCACCGGGGCAGCGCAGUAAACCCGACGGACGCCGACGUCCAGUCCGCGCAGUGUAACGCAUAAGAACUGACAGACGUCGGUGUCCCGUCCGCUCAGAGCAGCGCAGAGGACCCGACAGUCGCCAGUGUCCCACUCCCGUCCACGCAUUGUAGCACAAAAGAGCGGCAAGGUGGCAUGACAACAACCAAUCACCGCGUCUAAAUCAAGCUUGGCAUGACAAGCGCAUUUACGACUGCGUCUCGCCAGAUAUCCUUCUGCAAUCCGGCGCCAGUCCGGACAGAUGAGUAGUGCGUACAUCAUUGUCAUCGUUCGAUUACUGCGUUUUUACAUAAUAAAUUAUUUUUUCCGUCACGCUC
This 820-nucleotide long non-coding RNA is filed under the name Amphibalanus amphitrite. Its description in RNAcentral is "uncharacterized LOC122375156". Lineage: Eukaryota; Metazoa; Arthropoda; Thecostraca; Balanomorpha; Balanidae. The record is from RNAcentral.